Molecule: ribosomal RNA, 440 nt
Filed under: uncultured bacterium
Lineage: Bacteria
Description: partial 16S ribosomal RNA
Rfam family: Bacterial small subunit ribosomal RNA
Source: RNAcentral
CUACGGGUCGCAGCAGUGAGGAAUAUUGCACAAUGGGGGGAACCCUGAUGCAGCAAUGCCGCGUGGAGGAUGACGCAUUUCGGUGUGUAAACUCCUUUUAUAUGUCAAGAAAAUGACGGUAGCAUAUGAAUAAGCACCGGCUAACUCCGUGCCAGACAGCCGCGGUAAUACGGAGGGUGCAAGCGUUACUCGGAAUCACUGGGCGUAAAGGACGCGUAGGCGGGUUGGAAAGUCAGGUGUGAAAUCCUACAGCUUAACUGUAGAACUGCACUUGAAACUUCUAAUCUAGAGUAUGGGAGGGGGAGAUGGAAUUAGUGGUGUAGGGGUAAAAUCCGUAGAUAUCACUAGGAAUACCUAAAGCGAAGGCGAUCUCCUGGAACAUUACUGACGCUAAGGCGUGAAAGCGUGGGGAGCAAACAGGAUUAGAUACCCGUGUAGUC